GGCUGGUCCGAAGGUAGUGAGUUAUCUCACUUGAUUGUUCACAGUCAGUUAUAGAUUGAACUCCUUGUUCUACUACUUCCCCUUCUUUUCAAUACUGCACUUGACUAGUCUUAA
This 114-nucleotide Y RNA is filed under the name Propithecus coquereli (Coquerel's sifaka). RNAcentral describes it as "Y RNA (ENSPCOG00000009481.1)". It matches the Rfam family "Y RNA". From Rfam's summary of the family: Y RNAs are components of the Ro ribonucleoprotein particle (Ro RNP), in association with Ro60 and La proteins. The Y RNAs and Ro60 and La proteins are well conserved, but the function of the Ro RNP is not known. The record is from Rfam by way of RNAcentral. Lineage: Eukaryota; Metazoa; Chordata; Mammalia; Primates; Indriidae.